AUUCAUAAAUAAGAAACCUGGAAGACCUUAAUGAUGCUGUUAGGUCAAAGAAACAACUUUAAGAGGUUUGUGAUCAUGAUAGUCACCCUGGUUGUGGUUUUAGACAACUUUUUGCCUCCCAUUAAUUUAGCUAUUGAACUAAAACUGUACUAAAGAAAAGUGUCAACAAUAUAAAGAGAUAUCGAAAGACCUUUAAUGAAUGUAUGAAGAAGAAAUGUCAGGCACUCUGAACUAGCAUCUACAGGUCCUUCACAGAAUCCUAUGACAGCCCUAUUAUGACUUAGUC
Molecule: long non-coding RNA, 286 nt
Organism: Bufo bufo (common toad)
Lineage: Eukaryota; Metazoa; Chordata; Amphibia; Anura; Bufonidae
Exons: 3
Source: RefSeq, a predicted model, not a curated record